RNAcentral lists this ribosomal RNA (492 nucleotides) under uncultured bacterium. RNAcentral describes it as "partial 16S ribosomal RNA". It matches the Rfam family "Bacterial small subunit ribosomal RNA", at positions 29 to 507 of the family's 1533-position model. The record is from RNAcentral.
AGUGAACGCUGGCGGUAGGCCUAACACAUGCAAGUCGAACGGCAGCACAGUAAGAGCUUGCUCUUACGGGUGGCGAGUGGCGGACGGGUGAGGAAUACAUCGGAAUCUACUUUUUCGUGGGGGAUAACGUCGGGAAACUUACGCUAAUACCGCAUACGACCUACGGGUGAAAGCAGGGGAUCUUCGGACCUUGCGCGAUUGAAUGAGCCGAUGUCGGAUUCGCUAGUUGGCGGGGUAAAGGCCCACCAAGGCGACGAUCCGUAGCUGGUCUGAGAGGAUGAUCAGCCACACUGGAACUGAGACACGGUACAGACUCCUACGGGAGGCAGCAGUGGGGAAUAUUGGACAAUGGGCGCAAGCCUGAUCCAGCCAUACCGCGUGGGUGAAGAAGGCCUUCGGGUUGUAAAGCCCUUUUGUUGGGAAAGAAAAGCAGCAGGUUAAUACCCCGCUGUUCUGACGGUACCCAAAGAAUAAGCACCGGCUAACUUCGUG